This 439-nucleotide ribosomal RNA is filed under the name uncultured Agreia sp. Its description in RNAcentral is "partial 16S ribosomal RNA". It matches the Rfam family "Bacterial small subunit ribosomal RNA", at positions 341 to 792 of the family's 1533-position model. Lineage: Bacteria; Bacillati; Actinomycetota; Actinomycetes; Micrococcales; Microbacteriaceae. The record is from RNAcentral.
ACGGGAGGCAGCAGUGGGGAAUAUUGCACAAUGGGCGAAAGCCUGAUGCAGCAACGCCGCGUGAGGGACGACGGCCUUCGGGUUGUAAACCUCUUUUAGUAGGGAAGAAGCGAAAGUGACGGUACCUGCAGAAAAAGCACCGGCUAACUACGUGCCAGCAGCCGCGGUAAUACGUAGGGUGCAAGCGUUGUCCGGAAUUAUUGGGCGUAAAGAGCUCGUAGGCGGUUUGUCGCGUCUGCUGUGAAAACUGGAGGCUCAACCUCCAGCCUGCAGUGGGUACGGGCAGACUAGAGUGCGGUAGGGGAGAUUGGAAUUCCUGGUGUAGCGGUGGAAUGCGCAGAUAUCAGGAGGAACACCGAUGGCGAAGGCAGAUCUCUGGGCCGUAACUGACGCUGAGGAGCGAAAGCAUGGGGAGCGAACAGGAUUAGAUACCCUGGUA